CACUGAUUCACUGUUUUCCUAAGAACUCUGGGCUCCAGCUUCGUCUCCACCUUUCUGCUCUGGGGGAACCAAGUGCUCCAGCGUUCCCAGCGCCAUUGCAGGCCUAGGUCUGACUUGUAGCUCACUGCUUUCGCAACUGGCCGUUUGCAGUUAACAGUAUAUCUUGGAAAUCAUUCCAUAUCCGUUCUUAAGGUGCAAAUGUAUUUGGGGAGCUGAUUUUAGGGAUCUCUCUUUAACACCAAAAGUUUUCACAGAUCCCCAUGAAGAAGACUUGAUAUUACCAAAGACGUCCUGAAUUCAGGAAUAGUUUAAGGCCGCCAGGCUUCUCUGUCCAUGGAAUUCUCCAGGCAGGAAUACUGGAGUGGAUAGCUAUUCCCUUCUCCAGAGGAUCUUCCAGACCAAGGGAUUGGACCUGCGUCUCCUGUGUCUCCUGCAUUGUACCUAAAACUGAACAAAAUCAAGAAAAAGAGGCACAAGCAUGCUGUUUAGGAACAGGAGGUCUGUACCAGAAGGAUAGACCGAAAGACUUGAAAAUGACUGAAUCUGAGAUGCGGAUUGAGAGUAUAAUGAGCUGGAAUAGUCCCCAAAAGAAAAACUCCUCUUCAGUGGCAUCAUGGAGGCAGACAGAUGCUUGACUUUUCCCUUUACUAACAAGUUUUCAAAAUAACCAAGUGACGCUCUGGCAUCGUCCACAGCUGCAUCUUGCCAUCUGUCCCUUGCCCUCCAUUCUCUGAGGAUCUCUUUGUGAUCAUCCUCCCUGGAUUCCUUCUUGAGGACCAGCCUCUUGGGCUUUGAGGCCCCUCUUUCUGCACCAGCUUCAUCAAGGUUGACUCACUGCCAUCUGCAUAUUUAAACAAAACUGCUGCCCCCCACCCCAGCCCCGCAGACAGUCAUGUUGUAAGCUUGGGACUUUCUCCCUGCUCAUCCAAACCUUACCUGUACUUUUAGGUGCACUGUGCAGGAAGCCUUGUUAGAAGAGUCCAGCCCUCUCCCUCUCUUAGUCCUGGAGCAUUGUCAGGAAUCUCAUACCCCUGAACAGACUACAAGCUGCUGGAGGGCAGGCUUCAGUCAGAAUGUUCCUGCUGCCUUGGCGCAGGGCCAGCACACAUCAGAUGCUCAGUUAAUGUCUGUGGAGUCAGUGCACGGUGGCAUUCCCAAAGACUUACCUCCAGCUGCACCUCUCCCGCUCACUUGCCAUAACCCUCCCUGCACAACCUCCAGCUCCCACCAACCAGGGGCAAGAGGGAAAACAAAACAGGUGUAAAAAAAAAAAAAAAAAAAGGCGGAGCGCACUGAAAUAUAAGAAGCCACUUCUAGGAUCG
Molecule: long non-coding RNA, 1322 nt
Organism: Bos taurus (domestic cattle)
Lineage: Eukaryota; Metazoa; Chordata; Mammalia; Artiodactyla; Bovidae
Source: Ensembl